ACUGCAGUCGAGCGAACAGACGAGGAGCUUGCUCCUCUGACGUUAGCGGCGGACGGGUGAGUAACACGUGGAUAACCUACCUAUAAGACUGGGAUAACUUCGGGAAACCGGAGCUAAUACCGGAUAAUAUAUUGAACCGCAUGGUUCAAUAGUGAAAGACGGUUUUGCUGUCACUUAUAGAUGGAUCCGCGCCGCAUUAGCUAGUUGGUAAGGUAACGGCUUACCAAGGCAACGAUGCGUAGCCGACCUGAGAGGGUGAUCGGCCACACUGGAACUGAGACACGGUCCAGACUCCUACGGGAGGCAGCAGUAGGGAAUCUUCCGCAAUGGGCGAAAGCCUGACGGAGCAACGCCGCGUGAGUGAUGAAGGUCUUCGGAUCGUAAAACUCUGUUAUUAGGGAAGAACAAAUGUGUAAGUAACUAUGCACGUCUUGACGGUACCUAAUCAGAAAGCCACGGCUAACUACGUGCCAGCAGCCGCGGUAAUACGUAGGUGGCAAGCGUUAUCCGGAAUUAUUGGGCGUAAAGCGCGCGUAGGCGGUUUUUUAAGUCUGAUGUGAAAGCCCACGGCUCAACCGUGGAGGGUCAUUGGAAACUGGAAAACUUGAGUGCAGAAGAGGAAAGUGGAAUUCCAUGUGUAGCGGUGAAAUGCGCAGAGAUAUGGAGGAACACCAGUGGCGAAGGCGACUUUCUGGUCUGUAACUGACGCUGAUGUGCGAAAGCGUGGGGAUCAAACAGGAUUAGAUACCCUGGUAGUCCACGCCGUAAACGAUGAGUGCUAAGUGUUAGGGGGUUUCCGCCCCUUAGUGCUGCAGCUAACGCAUUAAGCACUCCGCCUGGGGAGUACGACCGCAAGGUUGAAACUCAAAGGAAUUGACGGGGACCCGCACA
This 891-nucleotide ribosomal RNA is filed under the name Staphylococcus sp. RNAcentral describes it as "bacterial SSU rRNA". It matches the Rfam family "Bacterial small subunit ribosomal RNA", at positions 53 to 927 of the family's 1533-position model. The record is from RNAcentral. Lineage: Bacteria; Bacillati; Bacillota; Bacilli; Caryophanales; Staphylococcaceae.